This 64-nucleotide transfer RNA is filed under the name Tenebrionoidea sp. 2 KM-2017. Its description in RNAcentral is "tRNA-Tyr". It matches the Rfam family "tRNA". Rfam says of the family: Transfer RNA (tRNA) molecules are approximately 80 nucleotides in length. Lineage: Eukaryota; Metazoa; Arthropoda; Insecta; Coleoptera. The record is from RNAcentral.
GGGAAAGUGGCCGAGCUUUAGGCGGUAAACUGUAAAUUUACAGACGGAUUAAAUCCCUUUUCCA